This is a long non-coding RNA of Alligator sinensis (Chinese alligator), 835 nucleotides long. RefSeq lists it as uncharacterized. The transcript has 3 exons. The record is from RefSeq and is a predicted model, not a curated record. NCBI's taxonomy places the organism in Eukaryota, Metazoa, Chordata, Crocodylia, Alligatoridae.
GCCCGCAGCUGCAAGUGAAUCAAUGCAGACAGCCCCUUAUGUCCAUCCACCCAGGACUCCUUUUGAUACCAAGGGUCUGCUCAUGCAUAUCCAGCUGAAGGAUCAAGAUCCCAGGUUGAAAGAUUUUUGGUUUGUUGAUGUUGUCCAGGUGCUAAAUGCCAAUUGCAUAUUAGUUUAGCGGAGAAGCAAGAUUUCUUUGGCAUUGUCUGUUAUUGUAUUGAUUUUGUAUUUGGCAGAGAGGAUACACCAGUUUUCAGGCACAAAUGACCUUCCUAAUAUCUCUUGUCUAACAUCUAACAAGAAAGCUUACUUAAUACCUCUCCCAACUAGAAAGUUGAUUCAAUAAAAGGUAUUACCAACCAAAUCUUGCUUCUCAUAUUCUCUGGAUCACCAUGGCUGCAAUGACAAUACAACACUAUUAUUUAAGUUGCAUACCUAUUGCCCAGAAGUUCGUGGACACUGUUGCCACCAUUACACAUCUGAUUUUCUCUUCACUGUCGCCAGCACAACAUAAAUUAUGUGACCCUGUGACCACGAAAUUAUGUUGGAGAAUCUCAACUUUUCCUGGCACAAAGCUAUACUUCUAGCCUUUAUGGUUCCAAAAGAACUUUGAAAGCACGAGUUUAGAGUAAUUAGUGAUGCAAUGUCUGUUUAAGUUUGCAGAAAACCAGAUACAAUGGCUGUGAGAGAUGUGUACUUCCACAUCCACGCCACAUUCAGUGUUCAUCUUGUCACAACCCAAGGGUGUGAUUUUGUUUGUGUGCGCUUCGGCACUGCUAAAUUAUUUCCCGCCACAAGGAGCUUUCUUUGCAGGGUGCAUUUCUUAGUUGCAAAG